Molecule: long non-coding RNA, 597 nt
Filed under: Populus trichocarpa (black cottonwood)
Lineage: Eukaryota; Viridiplantae; Streptophyta; Magnoliopsida; Malpighiales; Salicaceae
Description: long non-coding RNA (PTRI_LNC004068)
Source: RNAcentral
UCAUCUUAUCCACACAACGCAGAAUUCUUAUCAACACAAAGCAGAAUUCACUCCAAAAAUGGAAAUUAAUCAGAACAUAAUGUUUAAAGAUACUGACUGAAAUCUUCAAAGAAUCAAAGCCCCAGAGACGUAUAAAUGUGGGAUAAGAGGUUAAAACUUCGGUAGUUUAUCCCUUGUACUGAUGGUAGAGCAAACGGCUCUGCUCAGCCUUGGCCCAUCACUUAUGUCACGCUUGUGGCAGCAAAGCAAUGGAUCUCUCGCACUACCUUGCCAACCCUGUUUAUACAGUGACCCCAUCUGCUUUUAACUGCCAUGAAACAGCCUUUGCUCUUUGGCUCGCAGUUUGGGAUUUGGAUCUAACUUCAUGCAUGUCAUGUGACACACUGCAGCAACACUACAUGCAUCAGUAAAGAUGCUUGAGGGUACUCUAGAAUUUGCUUUGAACAGUUCAAAUUAAGCUUCAGUGAGUGAGACUGUGAGAAACAGAUGUUUUGUUUUGCCAGGAUACAUGUUUUUACUUCUCACGUCUGAUUCCUUCAACAAUGAGUAGGACCACUUCUGCAAGCAUGACAGUAGAGGCUUACUUGGUAAAGUUAA